CGGACGGGUGAGUAAUGUCUGGGAAACUGCCCGAUGGAGGGGGAUAACUACUGGAAACGGUAGCUAAUACCGCAUAACGUCGCAAGACCAAAGAGGGGGACCUUCGGGCCUCUUGCCAUCGGAUGUGCCCAGAUGGGAUUAGCUAGUAGGUGGAGUAACGGCUCACCUAGGCGACGAUCCCUAGCUGGUCUGAGAGGAUGACCAGCCACACUGGAACUGAGACACGGUCCAG
Molecule: ribosomal RNA, 232 nt
Filed under: uncultured bacterium
Lineage: Bacteria
Description: partial 16S ribosomal RNA
Rfam family: Bacterial small subunit ribosomal RNA
Source: RNAcentral